Molecule: unclassified non-coding RNA, 240 nt
Filed under: soil metagenome
Description: partial contains 5.8S ribosomal RNA, internal transcribed spacer 2, and large subunit ribosomal RNA
Source: RNAcentral
AACCUUAUGGACCUGCGGGCGUAUAUCUGCGGAAGGAUCAUUAACCUUUCAAAUCAGGGUGCGGCGCGGCCCCCGAGGAGCGGAAACAAUCCUUGGGAGGUAUGCGGGGGCUUCGAGCCCCCCAUUUACGCACGCACGACUGCCAUCCUUACUUUACGAGCACCUUCUGUUCUCCCUCGGCGGGGCAACCUGCCGUUGGAACCGAAUAAACUCUUUUUGCAUCUAGCAUUACCUGUUCCG